GGGGGUUGUAAAAGGCUGUAUUUUGAAAUGGAAAGCAAUGAAAUGAUGUUGGAACUCGUGAGAUUUUCUCCCAUUUUCUGCAAACUUGGGGUGAGUCGAAGUUGGUGUGAAUCCAAGCCCCCUUUCUCUUCCCUAACUCUUCUCUCUUAGGCUACUACCCUUUUCCUCUCCCCUAUUCCUUUUCUACCGGUCCCGAUUUUCCCACUUUUACCUUAAAUUAUAGCUUCAAAUGCAAUGGAGAUUCAUCAAUUAACACCAAGGAGGCACCACAAACAAAGUCUUGCAGUUUUGUAGUGACUCAGGACUUGAAAACACCAUUCCAACUCGUGAGACGGCAAAGGAAGCCAGACCCAGCGGAAGGAAAGAGAACAAAAGGAUAGCAGGACACCAACUCCCAGAGGAAGAAAAGUAUCUUUGAUGCAGCACCAACAAAGGUCUACACGAGAAGGACCAAGAAGGUCGACCCAAGUAGCUGACUGGGUAGACCAGAUCUGGUCUUAGAUAGCCCACGAUUUGGGCUACUGAUGGGGAGGGGGGAUAUUAGAUAUUAUUUAGUUGCUAAUUUAGCCAUAUAUUUAGUUUCUAAGUCAUGUCCUAAGUAGUUUCUAAUUUCAGUUUCAGAUCUAGUUUCCUUUUUAUAGUUUCAGUUUUAGUAACUUCAUGCAACUAGUUUUUAGUAACUCAAUCUUUGUUAGUUUCUAAAAUCUGAGUUACUAUUAUUUGUAAUCCUCCCCAUCAUUAUUAUAAAUAAAGAGCAGGGCAGCAAUAUAGCCCAUGAUUUUUAUGAACAAAAAAAUAUGCUGCUGUUGCUGCUUCUCCCUGUGAGGAUACUUUGUGUUUGAUCAAAGUGUGGGUUGGUGUGUGAUCCGACGACUCCUUGCGACGUGAAGUCCAGGAGGUUUUCUUCAGGCUCUAUUAUUCUCUUUAAGAUAUUCUCUAUUCUCAAGGAUUAACACUGCUGCAAUCAGGUAUGUUCCAUUCUGUUCCUGCCCAGAAUUUCUGCAAAACAGAGCAAUCGGCCCUGCUGGAAGAACCAGAUUUGGUUGUCGGAUUGACCCAGUUUUUUUGGUCAAGUGUUCCCUAUUGUCUAAGUAGGGUUCAACCCAAAUUUUUUCUGGUUCUGUCCAGUCAGUUGUGAGUUAUUAAAAAUCACCGAAUCCUCGUCUUUCAGUGACCUGCUGUGUCCAGAAUUGAAAUCGAUUGCUGUACUGCUGUUAUACUAUUGUCUUAGGACUGUGGAUCAUUAUUACUGUUGAUUUGGACCUCUAAGAGUCAAAUGAAGCUCCUGGUUAUGUUUAUUUAA
Molecule: long non-coding RNA, 1303 nt
Organism: Macadamia integrifolia
Lineage: Eukaryota; Viridiplantae; Streptophyta; Magnoliopsida; Proteales; Proteaceae
Exons: 2
Source: RefSeq, a predicted model, not a curated record